ACCUUUACUAUAGCUUGACACUGAACAUUGAGCCUUGAUGUGUAGGAUAGUUGGGAGGCUUUGAAGUGUGGACGCCAGUCUGCAUGGAGCCAACCUUGAAAUACCACCCUUUAACGUAUGAUGUUCUAACCUAGGCCCAUAAACUGGGACGGGGACCGUGUCUGGUGGGUAGUUUGACUGGGGCGGUCUCCUCCUAAAGAGUAACGGAGGAGCACGAAGGUUGUCUAAGCAUGUUCGGACAUCAUGCGGUUAGUGCAAAGGCAUAAGCCAGCUUGACUGCGAGAGUGACGGCUCGAGCAGGAAC
RNAcentral lists this ribosomal RNA (304 nucleotides) under Proteus mirabilis. RNAcentral describes it as "partial 23S ribosomal RNA". It matches the Rfam family "Bacterial large subunit ribosomal RNA", at positions 2097 to 2400 of the family's 2925-position model. The record is from RNAcentral. Lineage: Bacteria; Pseudomonadati; Pseudomonadota; Gammaproteobacteria; Enterobacterales; Morganellaceae.